RNAcentral lists this ribosomal RNA (459 nucleotides) under uncultured bacterium. RNAcentral's name for it is "partial 16S ribosomal RNA". It matches the Rfam family "Bacterial small subunit ribosomal RNA", at positions 338 to 795 of the family's 1533-position model. The record is from RNAcentral.
CCUACGGGAGGCAGCAGUGAGGAAUAUUGGUCAAUGGGCGCGAGCCUGAACCAGCCAAGUCGCGUGAGGGAUGAAGGUUCUAUGGUUCGUAAACCUCUUUUAUCGGGGAGUAAAAUACGGCACGCGUCCCGCUUCGCAUGUACCUUAUGAAUAAGCAUCGGCUAACUCCGUGCCAGCAGCCGCGGUAAUACGGAGGAUGCGAGCGUUAUCCGGAUUUAUUGGGUUUAAAGGGUGCGUAGGCGGAUGUUUAAGUCAGCGGUAAAAUUGGGGGGCUAAACCUUGACGAGCCGUUGAAACUGGGUUGCUUGAGUAUGCGAGAGGUAGGCGGAAUGCGUGGUGUAGCGGUGAAAUGCAUAGAUAUCACGCAGAACCCCGAUUGCGAAGGCAGCAUGCCAAGGCACGACUGACGCUGAUGCACGAAAGUGUGGGGAUCGAACAGGAUUAGAUACCCUUGUAGUC